AGGGCCCUGCACCUCUGCUUCUCAGCUACGGAAAGCUGUGGCUUUGACUCACUCAGCGAGGACCACAGGUUACAGAUCAGAAUUGAAAAGGAGACUUGCCAAGAGCGCCAGGCAGGGCUCAGAAGACUAUCUGUCAGGAUGCUGCCCUUCAAAAUCCAGCUGUCGUGCUGACAGAAGCUCACAAGGAAAGGCUUUAGAUAGACACGCUGGUCAACCAUCCCAGCAGAGUCCAGCCACUGCGUCAUCUCAGGCCCAGUAUUAGGCAGCAGGGGGAGCUACUGGAACCGGGGCGGAAGCAGCAGCCAGUUGAAACUGCAUCAUGGAAGGCAGGCGCAGAGGUACAGUGGUGUGCUGAGCAUUAGAGACUCCCAGGCAGGCCUGAGCAUCGACGGUAGCUGGAUUCAGCACACGCCCUUUGAACAAAAGUAUCUCAAGUGGGUCCUGUGUUCAGCAUGUGAGUGAUAAGGAACAGGGACCCGUCCCACCUGCAAGGAGGGUUUUGCAUUCAGGUGUGUUCUUUCGAUGUUCAGCGCCCGUGUUGUGCAGAAAGAGAACAUUGCGUACCUAUAAUGAAUAAGCCCUACACCCUACCUAAACCAAGAAGCCUGGAGCACUGGUACCUCAGUCAUCUCCACAGCCACUAAUAGAUGAAGGUUGACAGGUACAUGUGGAACUCCAAGCACCAAGCCAAGAACUCACCGACAUGGUAGGAAGUGGGGGCUCACGCUUCAUCUCGACUUUUCGAGCAUCUAUGCAGAACUUGACUGUUGGCCAAUGGAUGGAGCCUCCUCAGACUGCCCUUCUAUCAUCUCCUGCUCUCCUCCGACCUCUUGGAGUAUUCCACCAUAUCCUUAGAGGAACUCAAAUGAUUGUGUGGUUUCAGUUCCCAUCCACAUGUGGGUGACUACAAAAUCCACAUCUCCUCUAAGACAGUUCAUCCAGCUGUUCACAGGACCUCUCCACCUGAAAGUCUCCUCCCUGGAUGUUGAGCCCAUAGGACCCCAACGGAGCUCUUCAGCCUGCCAUGGCAUUACCACCCAAAUAGUUCUUUCACCUCUGUCUCUUGGAUCCACUGGCUCAGUGAAUGGGCCUUGUUUUUCAUCUGUUAGCUCCAAGUGCUAAUCUUGGAGUCAGACUCUCCUGACUUUUCCAUACUGCUCUGACCCAGGCCAUUCUAAUCCUCUUCCUCAAAUUUCUUAAAUUUAUUUCUGCCAAUAUUGUCCAUGUACCACCUCCAUGGCAAGACACACAGUCUCUUCUGUGAUUGUGUCUACACUUCCUUUCUUAGUUCUUUCCCCUCCAUCACUGAGACCCCCCCCCCAGAAGUUAGGUAAAUUGUGGUUCCUUCAACUGUACCAAGUUUUUGUAUGCACUGUUCUUUUAGGCUGCAGUGUGGUCUUCAUUUCCAAGACGUAGGUUGUCUCAAUGGGUCCAAUGGGCUCCAUGGGGCUUGAAUCUAAUGCGCUCUCUGUGCAGGUAGAGAUGAGAACGAACCCCACCGGCCCAACCCCUCCCACUCUCUCCUUGGGGUGCAAACCAUCUUCAGAAACAGACAUGUUAGUCAGUGAGGUUCACUUUGAUGAAGGUAAUGGUUGGUCUCAACCCAGAUCAGAAAUCUGGAUAAAGUCUUCUUUUGCUUUUUAAGGCUAUUUGUGGGCUGCUGACUUGUGAGAAAGCCAAGAUGAAAAUACAAUUUGAUUUCUAUUUUUUAAAGAGAAAACUCGCAUGUAUUUCAUUCUUCACACUUGGAUGCUCUUUAGUAUUCUUUGUAAGAUUCUUUCUCCAGGGUGGCUUAGCUGAGCUCUGUGGCUCUCACAGAAGUGGCAGGGCCAGGCCUGCGUUUGCAUACAUAAUCAGAACUGCCUGUCUGAGCUGGUCUCCCCAGGAGGCAGCUUGCCUGGGGGGAGGCUUGAGCUACCCCUGCAGAUGUGGGUGGCACCUUCCCAGCGAGGAGGGCCCCUGACACCUCGAAACAACACUGUUGCUGAAUACCAGUUGGGUCUUCAUGUGGCCAAACCAGGCCGGUAGACUUUGUGUCCCUGACCUCCGACUGUUGUAACAUUUGGGGGGCAGCUGCUGUGUGCAAGGAUCUGUGUGGCAAUGAAGUCCUGUCUUAGUUUGGGGUCCCCUCCCAAAGCAAACUCAGAGACAAGGCCUGAGAUGCAGAUGGCUUAUCCAGGAGAAUACCUGGGAGGCCCAAAUGAGGGAGUGAAAAAAGUGAGACAGGGGAGGAAGAAAAGCCAAUGACAGGCGUUUUAAUGAGCAAGUUGCUGCUGUGGGCAAUUGGGGCGCACUUUCCCUGAGGACACUCUGAGACACAGUGUAGAACCUGCAGAGAAUCCUCCCUCACAGGCCAGGAAGCCUGGGGCAUCAAUCCACCAACUGUCAUCCUUAGGGUCUUUAACUCCUUGGCCCCAGGGGAUUCCCUCUCCUGCAUUUCAGGCUGGUGCUUUCCUGCAGCAGAGCAAGCUCCUAAGUUGCUGGAGAAACCCUGAGAGCCGGAAGUGGAGAGAGGCGGGCCUAUGAGCUAGGAAAUUGCCAGUAAUUGGAAAUUUCCCACCAUGGCCACAGGUAAGUCAGAUGGCCAAGGCAAUAAAGACCAAGGGGAUACAGAAUGGGUAUGGACAGGGCCUGCUGCAGGUGGUGAGAUGGCAUUGUCCUGAUCCUCUGCCUUCCAAGAUGUACCACCUUAUGGGAAAUACAAGCUGGCUAGCGGUCAGGCCAUUAGCUGCAGGGAUAGGCCUGACUCGGAGAAAGAUACAUACAGACCACGCGGGGGCUUGCAACUUGCUCUGGGCUGGGAGAGUUGAAAGAUUAGUGACAUCUUCCAGGAGAAGAUAUUUGGGCUGAGCCUGGGAGGAAGCACGUUCCUCAGGAGAAGGAGGAGCAAUGAACUUCAGGGAAUGCAGGGGCGAGCCUCAAACGUGCAAGGCGUGUGCAGUGAAGCGCGGGCCGCCUGGCACGGCCAAGGCUUUGGCUGCUUUACAGGAAGCAGUAGGAGAUGUGGCCAGAUUGUAAGCUGGGGCCAGAUUGUGCAGGACGUUGAACAUACCAGAGGAAGACGUCUACAGUGCAGCCCCCGGGAAGCAACGUAGGCCUCGCAUGCUUAAGGAGGGACAAGUUUGGAGCCUUUAGAAAAUUCACUCUGAGACAGUUUGGGGUAUGGACUGGAUGGUGGCAGGUGAAAUUGGAGCCCAAAGAUCAAGAUCAGGAGGUGUCUCAGUCAGGCCCUGGGCAGGAAACAGAUGGCACUGUCAAAAGGAGUAAAGGUCCCAUGGCUACAGAAGAGAGCUACUGAACAGGAGCUGGAGGCUUAGGCCAAGGAAAGAUGCCAGAACCAGCUUCUCUCUGGUGGGAAGGCUGAUGAAGCCAGGACAACAAAUAGUCCAGUCUCUGCCCGCUGACGCUCUGAGCUCUGGUCGGAGACGGACAUUGGUCAGACCCGUCAGAAGCGGGGUGACAGGACUGCUCAGCUUUUGCCUCCCACAGAUGUCCAGCUUCCAAGGCUCAGGGCAGGGUAGAGUUUCACUGGGUGGGCCUGGGGAGGUCCCCCCAAUUGACCAGAUCAGCGAUGAUAGUAGGUGAGGUUGGCAUUGAGAGCAGGGAGUUUGAGGAGCAUUUUCCCUCGCUGCUGAGUGACCUCAAGAUCACUCAGAAGAUUAUUGUGGGGUGUCAGUCUUCCUACCCCUAGAGGAUUAUUUUGGGGUGUCAGUCUUCUUCCGGUGAGCACAUACUUCUGAGAGGGAUACAGCUUUGUCUGUUAUGAACCACUGACUUGGUGGUAAAUGGAGUGUUGCUGGUGAUCAAGGGGAAAGUCUGAGUGAAUAUUUAAGAAGGGCCUAGGGAGGGCAGCUGUUGCAGAUUUCCAUGGAGCUGUACUGGAACUGUGGUAGCCACAGAGCAAUGGGAAGGGGAGACAGCACAUCUCUGGGAACAAAGGGCUAAGAAGAGGAAUGUGGGAAGACCCUGGAGAAAAGCUUAGUCUGGGCUAUAGAUGCUAAGGCCUGAUCUUAUCCAGGACUCCAUAGAGUCAUACAGAAAAAGGCCAGCAAUCCCACCUGCGGUCCAGGCACUGUGCCUGCCACCCCACACAAAGGCCUGUACAGAAAUAACCCUCAAUAGUAGUCUGAUAGGGCUGUCACAAGCUAGUGCCACAAAGCAAGUGGCUGAGGUGGCUGACAUAAACACGUGUCUCCCAGCUUCCAAGGCUGGAAGUCCAAAGUCAAGGGGUGGCAGGGCCAUGCUCCUUCUGAAGGUGUUGGGGAAGAUUCCAGAUCUCUCACCCUAUGUCUGAUGACUCCUUGACUUGGGGCAGCAUCUCGCCACCCUCCACAUGUGUUCUCCUUCUCUGUUUCUAUCACUUUGUCAAAAUCUCCCUUUUUAUAAGGACAUCAGUUUGUCCUGGAUUAAGGCCCACAUCGAGGACCUCAUCUUAACCUGAUCAUCUGCGAAUAACCUGUUUCAAAAUGAGGUCAUAUUUAGAAGUACUGGAGGUUGGGCUGUAUUUUUUUGGAGGAGGAACACAAUUCAAACCAUAACACUCACCAAUAUUCCUAAGGAGUUAGCAUGACCCACUUGUCCCGAAGUCGACCUUUGCAUUGGAGUACAAGGAGUCUUGGGGAUGCUGACAUUAAGUGAGCAAUCUUUCUGAAUAUAGGCUGACUUGUGUCCUGUACUUUGGGAAAGGAAUAUUUCCUGAAGGGCAUCAAAGGAAUUUUCUAAAUAGACCGCCCAUUCACAGGCAAAGUGUAGACAUGGGAGCGCCACAGCUGUAUUGCAACGCUCUGGAGACUAUAUUGGUAAUUCCGAGCUAUUUAUUAGGAGCUUGAGUCAUGCCAAUGUCUGGAUUUGGAAUCCCCCAAAGUAGACCCUGAGACAAGGAUUUGAGUUCAUUUGGGAUGUGAUCCAGAAAGCACCGUGAGGGGGUGGACCAGUGUCACGAGGCAGGCCCGGGGACGCCCAGGCUGCUGUUGACCUGAUUGUGUGACUAUCUCCUUGGCGGUCCCGGGAUAACUCUGCCUGUGAUGACAUCAGACUUCGCUGAUGCAAAUGUCUCUUGACGAUGGUCAUGAUGUCCCUUUCCCUGUCGCUUGUAAAACUUUGUCCCCCAUUCCUAUCCCACCCUCCAGACCUUAUUCCUCAUCCCACUGUUACGUGAUCAGACUUACCAGCCCGUAGGCUUUCAAUAAAUGGAUCAAGGGCAUCUGCUCAAGCAGCAGAGUCUCGCCUUGCAAACCUGCUCACUACUGCUGUGUCCCUCAUUGGAGUCCUGCUGCAAAGUGGCAACCAAGUUGCCAUUGCAACAGCAGCUCUUGAGCCUCAGCAUAAAAAUAUGAAAUAGGGGUUACCCCCAAUUUAUGAAGAAAUGAAGGCGCAGGGGGGUUCAAAUACAUUCUAAAAUUCACCAAGUCAGUAAAUGGUUGAUUCGGGAUUAGAAUCCAUUUCUGUAAGAUUUUUAAGAUUCUCAUCACAACACUAAUGACUGUUCUACUGCCAUGUUUCAUGUGAUAGUCAUCAGAAAAGAUGAGCUGGUUUUGUUUGUUUUUCUAAGGUGGGUUUGAAUCAAAUGCUGACGCUAAGUGGAGACACAGUGGCCCCCUGGCAGGUGGCUUACCCCCCAGUCAUCAAACUUUUGAAUGCUACCUUAAUGAAUUCCCUUGGGUUUCUCCACAAAGUGCCCUGAGAUUUGUUUUGGAGGAGGUUGGAGAGAAGGAUGAGGUGAUGCCGAAGCCCCCUACCGAGGCGCUUGAGGCGAAGUGAUGGGUGGCAGGACAUAGGCUCAGGCAGCCAGACCCAGUUUCAGUUGGUUCCUCAGUGGUUCCGGACCUCUGUGUAGUCUCCCUUUGCCAGGCAUGCUGCUGCUUGUCCCUUCCCAGCUGUUCACAAGGCCUGGGGCAGCCCCGAGACCCUGCUGAGGGGCCUGCUUAAGUCUCUCGCCACCUACCGCUGCGAUGACAUGCUCCCCCUGGUUGGCGUGGAGUGACAGUGAUAGAUUAAACGCACCAAUUAAAUUAGAUCCUAUUUUAAAAAGCUUGAGCUGGAUUUACUUUUAAUUAUAGUGCUGUGCUCGCUGAUGAGGUAUUGUCGAGGACUUAACAAUUGGUUGAUUGUGCAUCCGAGUGUUCAGAGUGUGGUUUCUGGGGAGAGACUGGGGAGGGCUUUCUUCCUAAGAAGCUUCUUGGGAUGAGACAGAAGGGAAGAAGUAGGCAGGGAGGGAGGGAGAGAGGAGGAGAUGUCCUCUCUCCACUGAGAACUCGUCCCUCUUCUCCUUGUUUUCUGCUUUAUGAGUCCCAUGUUACUCAGAGAUUUAAUCAGCCCAGUGCAGGGGAGAGAAAUGGACCAGAGGCCACAGAGCCAGUUGGGCUUGGGGCCCCACUCUCCCUCAGCCCCCACUUGACUGAAUGUGUUACCUCUGGUCAAGGUAACUGUUGUCUGUUUCAUUCAUUCAUCCAUUUGUUCAUUCAUUUUAGUGGUAUUUAUAUGAGAUUCUAGAAAGUGCUGGCAAUGUUCUAGGUGCUAGGACUGGAGUGGUGGAUAAAAAAGAGGGGAAAAAAUCUCUAUCCCAAAGAAGCUUAUAUUCUAGUGGUGGGAGCAACUGUGGGUGCAAUAAAAAAGUUUAUCACAUGUCACUCUGCUGUGAUAAAUGAGAAAAGAAAAUUCAGGUAACAGAGGUUACUUUAGACGGUGGUUUAAAAGGUCUCUCCGGGGCCCUCCCUGGUGGCACAGCAGGUUAAAGCACAGCACUAAGAAGCUUAAGCCACUUCCACAU
Long non-coding RNA from Condylura cristata (star-nosed mole), 6769 nucleotides. RefSeq lists it as uncharacterized. The record is from RefSeq and is a predicted model, not a curated record. NCBI's taxonomy places the organism in Eukaryota, Metazoa, Chordata, Mammalia, Eulipotyphla, Talpidae. The transcript is spliced from 6 exons.